CAAAGAUUUUUCCGGUGUGGAUAAACUACACCCUCUCAGUGCGUUUGAUGGAGGUUUUCAACAGAGCAGGAGGAAGAUAAGACUUAGAAAUAGAAAUAGAGAGAAAGCAGAGGUAGAGACAGAAAUAUAAAACACAGCAUGUACUCAGAGAGAGCAGAUAGAAGAAGAGGGAGAGGCUCACUGUCUGCAUGCAGUAGGUGUCUGCUGCAAGUCUAGCGUGACUGAUCUGAAAUCAGGUUUUCUGCCUAUAAAUAUAGAGCAGACCAAGGCCGAGGACUCUUCCACUUCUCCUGUUUUUCUCACUGUGCGAGUGCGAAGGCCACAACACUGCUUUCCUUUUCCAUUACGGUCGGAUACUUUCUCCGACGUGCCCGACGCAGAGCGAAAGGAGGGAGGUAGGGAUGGAUGAUGGAGAAGUUUCAGAAAACGCGGAACACAAGAGUGUUUUAUGACUGUGCUUCAUAAGUAAUGAUGCAGGGAGGGAUGGAUACAGGAAAGAGGAGGGAGGUGGGGCUAGGCGGAAGCUGAAAGCAGGAACAGAAAACACACGUCAAGUCGGUCUUUUGGGUGAGACAGGAGAGGAAUUAUUUAUCCUGCAUUUACACAUCAAUGACAGUUUUUCUCCCCCUCAUGAUUCCCCUGCUUCAUGCUGAAAGAAAAACGCGUAGGGCGCUCACACGGAUGGACGGCUAUGGUGCGUUUGUAAGCACAUGCAAAUUUGUAUGUAAGAGAGAGAGAGAGAGAGAGAGAGAGAGAGAGAGAAACAGAGUGUGUGUUCGUGUGUCAUUGUGCGCCUUGUAUUGUCUAACCGCAGGAAAGUGCCAAGAAGGGUUUUGUUUCUUCCUCGCCUGAGUCACGAUUGCCAGAAUUUGUUCCUUGUGAUGUGACAAGCCAACUGGCAGCUCACUGGGAAGUCUAUUAACAACAAAACACACACACACAUACACACACACACACACACACACACAGAAAAACACACACACACAGAAAAACACAAAUUCAAUCAACUGCCAGGACUGUCAUUGCCAGAUCACCUUUAACAUUAGAAAUAUCAGGGCAGUGAUUUUAAGUGUUUCUGAAUUUCCCUUUGUGGAGACUUUGUUAAGGUUAUCAUCGGAGUCUACCUUUUCUCUUAAAGUUUGUGUAUUUUUUUUUUAAAUGUCAUUUUACACACACCAGCAUAGCCAAUCAUUAAUUUUCACCAUGUUUUUGUUACUGCAAAGCAAAUCCGAGCAUUGAUUUGAGCUUAUGCCAAUAAAGGAAAUCCUGAAGGAACAUCACGCUCUGUUCCAAAUGACGGAAGCCCGGAGAGGACACGCAUCCUUAUAUUUCCUGUACUCCAUGCUCUGUGAUUAAAGCAGGCUGAGAGCUAUUAGCACUCAGGUAGGAGGAGGUGAUUAAGACGAGGCAGUGUGGUGCACACAUACACAUACACUGAGCAGGAUGUGGUGAGGAGAGCUUUGCUUUAUCCUUACCUUUCUUUUCACAUUGAGGUUCUUUUUGUCAACAUGUUUUAGACUGUUUGGUUUUGUUAUUGAGUUUGGGCUGGAGACCAGUGGUAGUGCUUUAUUUUUCUCAGGUUAGUUUCCGGUUCCAAAUUAGAUUAGGGGAAUGUGCUAUGAGUGGCAGUCCAUUGUGAGGCUGGCCAGGCACCUUUCUAUUUUUUGUUAACUUUGGCAAGGGGUCUCCAAACCCCUUUUGUUUCACUGGUUUCCGUUUCCUUUUCUUGAUUUUGAACAUUUUGGGGUCUAUUUUGUUCAAAUAAAGCUCAGUGUUUAAACAAUA
Molecule: long non-coding RNA, 1785 nt
Organism: Notolabrus celidotus (New Zealand spotty)
Lineage: Eukaryota; Metazoa; Chordata; Actinopteri; Labriformes; Labridae
Exons: 2
Source: RefSeq, a predicted model, not a curated record